RNAcentral lists this ribosomal RNA (260 nucleotides) under Rhizobium leguminosarum bv. phaseoli. RNAcentral's name for it is "partial 16S ribosomal RNA". It matches the Rfam family "Bacterial small subunit ribosomal RNA", at positions 46 to 334 of the family's 1533-position model. Lineage: Bacteria; Pseudomonadati; Pseudomonadota; Alphaproteobacteria; Hyphomicrobiales; Rhizobiaceae. The record is from RNAcentral.
AGGCUUAACACAUGCAAGUCGAGCGCCCCGCAAGGGGAGCGGCAGACGGGUGAGUAACGCGUGGGAAUCUACCCUCUACUACGGAAUAACGCAUGGAAACGUGUGCUAAUACCGUAUGUGUCCUUCGGGAGAAAGAUUUAUCGGUAGGGGAUGAGCCCGCGUUGGAUUAGCUAGUUGGUGGGGUAAAGGCCUACCAAGGCGACGAUCCAUAGCUGGUCUGAGAGGAUGAUCAGCCACAUUGGGACUGAGACACUGCCCAA